Molecule: long non-coding RNA, 880 nt
Organism: Zingiber officinale
Lineage: Eukaryota; Viridiplantae; Streptophyta; Magnoliopsida; Zingiberales; Zingiberaceae
Exons: 3
Source: RefSeq, a predicted model, not a curated record
AUGUUUAUUCAUUUCUUUUUUCUUUGCUUUUUCUUUUGUUUUCGCCGAAUUCCUUCCCUCUCCCUCACGCACCCGAGCCGCAUCCCCUCCUCACCCGACGCCAUCUUCUCCCGAGCCCUAACCAGCGCCGAGCGGUUUCCUCUCCCUCUCCGCGUACAAAACCUCUCGGCCAAGGGCUUCGCCUUCUUCUUUUUCUUCCCGAGCUUUGCCCUAAUCUCUCUGCAGCCCGCCGCCGUCGAACGAAGCACCGUCGGCCAGUUCUUCUUUCCUCGACAACCAUUUCUCCUCGACGCAUUCCCUUCUUCUUCCACCUCACCGGCACUUGAACAAGAGCCGGCAGACUCCUCUGCAUCCCGAUUCCUUUCCCCUCCUCUGGUCCGACGAGACACCGCCGGUCUUCCUUCUGCUCUAGCCGAGUCCCUCCCACCAGCCGCCGAACUCGCGUGCCCUAGAUUUUGGGUUCACAGCCACCGCCCCUCUUCGAUCUCCUCUGUGACAGCCACCAGGUCUGACCUAGCGCUGGCCGCCGGCUGAUUUUCUGUGCCUUAGUCGCCGCUGUGAGGUUUGAGCCGACCAACAGAUUCACUGCCGCCACCGUCGGCCAAGUUCCCUCUUCCGUGCCGCUGAUCUGGAGCGACUGCUGCCGUGCUUCUGUUUUGUGUGUCGCCGGGAGUUGAGAGCUCGAGAAGGCGACAGAGGGCAACAGUGAUUCGACAGUGGGAUUUAAGAUUCAUUUCGCUGAAAGUGUAUCGGGGUUCCACAGCAGCUGUGAUUUUUCUAGCCAUAAUUUCCAGCAACAUCCUUGCUGUGAGAAGUGAGGACUUUGACGCAAGACGAGUAUCUCGAUGUCGGAUUUGGACAUUCCUAUUGGAGGCGGGUA